This is a long non-coding RNA of Trichosurus vulpecula (common brushtail), 527 nucleotides long. RefSeq lists it as uncharacterized. The transcript is spliced from 3 exons. Lineage: Eukaryota; Metazoa; Chordata; Mammalia; Diprotodontia; Phalangeridae. The record is from RefSeq and is a predicted model, not a curated record.
CUCAGUCACUCCCAAGGCCUGCUCCUGGUUUGCUGGGGCCAGGGCUAUAUUGGCAUGCCCUGCCCUGGACUACACUUCUCUCUCACCCAGUUCUGACAGACACCUCCCCCUGACCUUCUAACUUGUCUCUGGCAUCUAUGGGCUGAGAAGUCUGGAAACUGCCACUGCUGCCAAUGAUUCAGUCUCCUGAGGUCUGCUCUGGCUUUACGGGGGCUGGGUCUGUGCUACAAUGGCCUACACUCUACUGCUCUCCUCUCUCAGCCCUGCGCAACAGACCCUUCCUGUUGACCUUCCAGAAGAGGAAACUGAGGCCUCUGGAAGUCGAAUGUUUUGCCCAAGGACACACAGGUGGAAUUACAGACUCAUUGGAAAGAAAAGGCCUCUGGCUAUUUGGUAGCAGGUUAGUCCCUUCCACAACAGAAAAAUGAAUAAUUUCCAGGAGGGUUUGUACAUCAAAUAUGCCUCAUUUAUCUGGUGUUGUCUAAGAAGGAAAUAUUCUAUACAAGUGAAUUUUCAAUAAAUCUGAA